CGAUGAUAGCCCUUCGGGGUGGAUUAGUGGCGAACGGGUGAGUAACACGUGGGCAAUCUGCCCUUCACUCUGGGACAAGCCCUGGAAACGGGGUCUAAUACCGGAUAACACUCUGUCCUGCAUGGGACGGGGUUGAAAGCUCCGGCGGUGAAGGAUGAGCCCGCGGCCUAUCAGCUUGUUGGUGGGGUAAUGGCCUACCAAGGCGACGACGGGUAGCCGGCCUGAGAGGGCGACCGGCCACACUGGGACUGAGACACGGCCCAGACUCCUACGGGAGGCAGCAGUGGGGAAUAUUGCACAAUGGGCGAAAGCCUGAUGCAGCGACGCCGCGUGAGGGAUGACGGCCUUCGGGUUGUAAACCUCUUUCAGCAGGGAAGAAGCGCAAGUGACGGUACCUGCAGAAGAAGCGCCGGCUAACUACGUGCCAGCAGCCGCGGUAAUACGUAGGGCGCAAGCGUUGUCCGGAAUUAUUGGGCGUAAAGAGCUCGUAGGCGGCUUGUCACGUCGGAUGUGAAAGCCCGGGGCUUAACCCCGGGUCUGCAUUCGAUACGGGCUAGCUAGAGUGUGGUAGGGGAGAUCGGAAUUCCUGGUGUAGCGGUGAAAUGCGCAGAUAUCAGGAGGAACACCGGUGGCGAAGGCGGAUCUCUGGGCCAUUACUGACGCUGAGGAGCGAAAGCGUGGGGAGCGAACAGGAUUAGAUACCCUGGUAGUCCACGCCGUAAACGUUGGGA
RNAcentral lists this ribosomal RNA (731 nucleotides) under Streptomyces sp. YIM 64771. RNAcentral's name for it is "bacterial SSU rRNA". It matches the Rfam family "Bacterial small subunit ribosomal RNA", at positions 67 to 814 of the family's 1533-position model. Lineage: Bacteria; Bacillati; Actinomycetota; Actinomycetes; Kitasatosporales; Streptomycetaceae. The record is from RNAcentral.